Molecule: ribosomal RNA, 497 nt
Filed under: uncultured bacterium
Lineage: Bacteria
Description: partial 16S ribosomal RNA
Rfam family: Bacterial small subunit ribosomal RNA
Source: RNAcentral
GACGAACGCUGGCGGCGUGCCUAAUACAUGCAAGUUGAGCGCUGAAGGUUGGUACUUGUACCAACUGGAUGAGCAGCGAACGGGUGAGUAACGCGUGGGGAAUCUGCCUUUGAGCGGGGGACAACAUUUGGAAACGAAUGCUAAUACCGCAUAAAAACUUUAAACACAAGUUUUAAGUUUGAAAGAUGCAAUUGCAUCACUCAAAGAUGAUCCCGCGUUGUAUUAGCUAGUUGGUGAGGUAAAGGCUCACCAAGGCGAUGAUACAUAGCCGACCUGGGAGGGUGAUCGGCCACAUUGGGACUGAGACACGGCCCAAACUCCGACGGGAGGCAGCAGUAGGGAAUCUUCGGCAAUGGACGAAAGUCUGACCGAGCAACGCCGCGAGAGUGAAGAAGGUUUUCGGAUCGUAAAACUCUGUUGGUAGAGAAGAACGUUGGUGAGAGUGGAAAGCUCAUCAAGUGACGGUAACUACCCAGAAAGGGACGGCUAACUACGUG